GAGAUUCUGAAUCUCAAAACCAAUGAAAGUUUCAAAAGUUGAAAAAUUGACUUUCAUCCUUGAAUCCAGUGUACAAGUAAGCUGGUAACUCUCAGACCAAGAUUCAGCACCCCUGAGACUUGAGAAACCGUGAGUCCACUAAGGAGACACAGUCUAGAGGAUGGAUGGAAGGUCUCAUACACAGAUCAAGUCCACAGUUGAGAUUGUUAUUUGCCUCUUCUCUUCUGCCUGGGCACUGCCAAAGAAAAAAGGAGAUUGUAGCAAUUCACUGGACCCAGAACCUAGUUGAGGGAGCAUUGUGACAUGCCACUGGGCUCAGCACCCAGGUGAUGUUCCUCUCCUGCCUGGUCCCUUCCAUCAGGGAAUAUUGUACAAAUCUCUGGCCAAGCACCCAGUUGAUGUGACUCUCCUGCUCACUACCUACUCACAGGUUACAUGUCCCAUGUCGCAGAAAAUGUUGUAAUGUAUUGCUGGACCCAGUCACCAGAUGAUGUGUCUCUCCUGCCAAGGCUGUGCCCACAGAGAGCAUUUUGACAUAUCACUGGGCUCAGCACCCAGGUGAAAUGACUCUGCUGCCUGUACUCUGCUUUAAGAGGGGAUUGUAAUAUAUCUGUGGCUGAGCACCUAGGUGAGAUGACUUCUGCGUGGUUUCUGACCUCAGGAAAGAUUGUGACAUAUCUUUGCCGAAAACCUACAUGAUGUGAAUCUGCUGCUCACUUCCUACCGACAGUCUCCAAAGUUAUCAGAAACCUGCAUUUAAAAAUACCUGGCAAAGUUCCAUAGCGGACCAUAAAUCACCUCUUGAAGAGGAUCGAAUCAAGACAACAAUUGUCUGAGGGAUUGAGACAAUUCUGGAAGCCCAGCACCUAGGUGAUGUGACUUUCAUCUUUUGUUUGGACCGUGUGCACAAAAGGAAGAGUGGCUUAUCACUGGACCUCACACACAGGAGGUAUUGUGACAUAUUCCUGGAGCAAGUACCCAGGUAAUGUAACUCUUUUCUACUGCUUGGACUCUACCCAAGGAGAGAUUCUAAUGUAUCACUGGACCCAGCACCUAGGUUACGUGACUUUCCUCUUGUGUCUGAGUCUUGCAUAAAUUGUGUAUUGUGACAAAUCUCUGGGUCUAAAACCUAGGUGAUGAGACUCUUAUGCAUGAGCCCUGCUUACAGGGAUAUUAUGACAUAUCUUUUUUUUUUAAUCACCUAUGUGAUGUGCCUUUGUUUGUGUGUGUGUGUGUGUGUGCGUCCUGGCCCUGCCAAAAGUGGGGAUUGUAACAUAUCAUUAAACUUAGUACCAAGGUGUUAUGACUCACCUUGUUUGCCUGGGCCCUGCAUAUAUUUGGUAAUGUGACGUAUGGCUGAGACAAACACCUAGGGCAUGAGAGCCUUGUGCCUGGGUCCUGCCCACAAGGAGCCUUUUGGCUUAUCUCUGCAUCCAUGAACUAGGAGAUGUGACUCUUCUUUUCUGUCUGGGUUCUGCAAAAACAAGUGAUUGUGACAUAUCAUCAAACCCAGCAACUAGACGAUGUGAUUUUUCUUCCCUGCUUGAGCCCUGGAUAUGCUGUGCAUUGUGAUAUAUGGCUGGGUCCAACAUCAAGGAGAGAUUGUGACAUAUCUCUGGAACCAGAACCUUGGUGAUGUGACUCUUCUCUCCUGCUGAAGCCAUGCCCACACAAGGGAAAGUGACUUAUCACUGGGCCCAGCACACAGCGCUAUUCACAGGGAAAAUAGUGACACAUCUGUGGGGUUCUCACCGAAAUGAUGUGACUCUCUUGCCUGGGCUCACCUCUCAAGGGAAUUUUGACAUAUUACUGGACCAAGCACCUAGGCCCUGCAUUUAUUGUGUAUUGUGACAUAUGGCUUGGUCCAACACCUAGGUGGUGUGACUCUCUACUUCUUCCUGUGCCAUGCCAAAGAAGAGGAUUGUGACAUAUCACUGGAUCCAGCACCUAGGUCUUUUCCCACAGGGAGCAUUGUGAAAUAUCACUGGGCUCAGCCCCCAGGUUAUGUGACCUUUCUGCCUUGCCCUGCUCCCAGGAAAUGUUGUGACAUCCCUCAUACAGCACCCAGGAUGCAUAUGCCAGAUUUCCAGGCCCAUCACCUAGAUGAUGAGACUCUCCUCUUCUUUCUGGGACCAAUACACAGUGGGAAUUGUGAUGCAUCGUUUAGCUCAGCAGCUACAUGAUGUGACCCUCUUCUCAUGAGAUUCCUGCCCACUUGGGUAAUUGCAACAUAUAAUGUAGCCGAGUUUCUAGGAUACCUGACUCUUCUCUUAUUCCUGAGACUUACACAGAAUCGGCAACAUCUCUGAUCUUCUCACCUAGGAGACAUGACCCAAAAAGGGAUUAUGACAUAUCUCUGAGCCCAACACCCAAAUGUUGUGACUCUCCUGCCUGGGCUGUGCCUAGAGAAAAUAUAAUAUGUCACUGGGCCCUGCAUGCAAGUGAUCUGAUUCUCCAGCCUGGGCCUUGCCCACAGGGGAGAUUGAGACAUAUUCCAGGUGGAUGGUGACUCUAAGACCAGGAUUCAACACAACUAGAAGGCUUUGACUCUAAUACGAGUCACAGAAGGCUCUGCGACUCUUCUAUUUUCUCUAGGUUAUGCAAAUGGAGGUGGAUUGUGACAUAUCAUAGGGCCAACACAACACACAGUCUACAGGUGGAAUUGGGACUCUCAUGCAUGGAUCCAGUUCAUCAUUGAUACUGUGACUCAGGUGGGAUUUUGACAUAUAACUGCACCCAGCACACAGGUGAGAUUGUGACUCUUGUAUGCUCAUCCUGCCAAAAGUUGAGUGUCACCCUCACACAUGGACAGAGACUUCUGUGGUCCAUUACAUUGAUGACAUUAUGCUGAUUGAAUCCAGUAAGCAAGAAAUAGCAAACACACCAGACUUAUUCAUGAGACGUUUGCAUGCCAGAGGAUGGAAAAUAAGUCUGACUAAAAUUUAGAGACCUUCUAGCUCAGUAAAACUUCCAGGGGUCCAGUGGUCCAAGGCCUGUCAAGAUAGUCCUUCUAAGGUAAAAGGUAAGUUGCUGCAUUUGGCCCAUCCUACAACCAAGAAAGAGGCACAAUGUCUAGUGGGCCUAUUUGGGUUUUGGAGGCAACCUAUUCCUCAUUUGGGUGUGUUACUCUGGCCCAUUUAUUGAGUGACCCAAAAAGCUGCCAGUUCUGAGUGUGGUCCAGAAAAGGAGAAGGCUCUGCAACAGGUCCAGGCUGCUGUGCAAGCUGCUCUGCCACUUGGGCCAUAUUACCCAGGAGAUCCAAUGGAUCUUGAGUUGUCAGUGUAAAAUAAGGAUGCUAUUUGUAGCCUUUGGCAGGCCCCCUUAGGUGAAUCACAGCAGAGGCCUCUAGAAUUUUGUUCUUUC
Molecule: long non-coding RNA, 3363 nt
Filed under: Homo sapiens (human)
Lineage: Eukaryota; Metazoa; Chordata; Mammalia; Primates; Hominidae
Description: HSALNT0396719
Source: RNAcentral